UACGUGGGGUGCAAGCAUUAUCCGGAUUUACUGGGCGUAAAGGGUCCGUCGGCGGUUAAUCAAGUCUUAGGUUUAAGACUGGGGCUCAACUCCAGAACAGCCUGAGAAACUGAUUAACUCGAGUUUGUUCGGGGUAGCUGGAAUUCUCGGUGGAGGGGUGAAAUCCGUAGAUAUCGAGAGGAACGCCAAGCGCGAAGGCAAGCUACUAGAACACAACUGACGCUCAGGGACGAAAGCUAGGGUAGCAAAAGGG
RNAcentral lists this unclassified non-coding RNA (253 nucleotides) under uncultured Patescibacteria group bacterium. RNAcentral describes it as "contains 16S-23S intergenic spacer region". It matches the Rfam family "Bacterial small subunit ribosomal RNA", at positions 524 to 776 of the family's 1533-position model. The record is from RNAcentral.